RNAcentral lists this ribosomal RNA (467 nucleotides) under uncultured bacterium. Its description in RNAcentral is "partial 16S ribosomal RNA". It matches the Rfam family "Bacterial small subunit ribosomal RNA", at positions 28 to 506 of the family's 1533-position model. The record is from RNAcentral.
GACGAACGCUGGCGGCGUGCUUAACACAUGCAAGUCGAACGGAAAGGCCCUGCUUUUGUGGGGUGCUCGAGUGGCGAACGGGUGAGUAACACGUGAGUAACCUGCCCUUGACUUUGGGAUAACUUCAGGAAACUGGGGCUAAUACCGGAUAGGAGCUCCUGCUGCAUGGUGGGGGCUGGAAAGUUUCGGCGGUUGGGGAUGGACUCGCGGCUUAUCAGCUUGUUGGUGGGGUAGUGGCUUACCAAGGCUUUGACGGGUAGCCGGCCUGAGAGGGUGACCGGCCACAUUGGGACUGAGAUACGGCCCAGACUCCUACGGGAGGCAGCAGUGGGGAAUAUUGCACAAUGGGCGGAAGCCUGAUGCAGCAACGCCGCGUGCGGGAUGACGGCCUUCGGGUUGUAAACCGCUUUCGCCUGUGACGAAGCGUGAGUGACGGUAAUGGGGAAAGAAGCACCGGCUAACUACGU